This 76-nucleotide transfer RNA is filed under the name Escherichia coli K-12. RNAcentral describes it as "tRNA-Phe". Lineage: Bacteria; Pseudomonadati; Pseudomonadota; Gammaproteobacteria; Enterobacterales; Enterobacteriaceae. The record is from RNAcentral.
GUUGACGAGAUGUGCAGAUUACGGUUUAAUGCGCCCCGUUGCCCGGAUAGCUCAGUCGGUAGAGCAGGGGAUUGAA